UGCCUUAGUAACUGCGAGUGAAGCGGCAAAAGCUCAAAUUUGAAAUCUGGGGCCUUACAGCCUCCGAAUUGUAAUUUCGCGAUACGUUUUCGACUGAAGGCUCUGCUUUAAGUUCCUUGGAACAGGACGUCACAGAGGGUGAGAAUCCCGUGAUAGGUGGAGCCUGAUGCAUAUGAUACGUAUUCAACGAGUCGAGUUGUUUGGGAAUGCAGCUCAAAAUGGGUGGUAAAUUUCAUCUAAAGCUAAAUAUUGGCGAGAGACCGAUAGCGCACAAGUAGAGUGAUCGAAAGAUGAAAAGCACUUUGAAAAGAGAGUUAAAAAGUACGUGAAAUUGUUGAAAGGGAAGCGCUUGAGACCAGACUCAAUCUGUGGUGAUCAACUUGGCUUCUGUCAGGUGCACUUGCCACUUAUUGGGACAGCAUCGGUUUUGGCGGUGGGAUAAAGUCUUGAGGAAUGUAGCUACCUUCGGGUAGUGUUAUAGCCUCUUGAGUAAUGCCACCAGCCGGGACCGAGGACCGCGCUUCGGCUAGGAUGCUGUCAUAAUGGUCUUCAGCGACCCGUCUUGAAACACGGACCAAGGAGUCUAACAUCUAUGCGAGUGUUCGGGUGGAAAACCCUUGCGCGUAAUGAAAGUGAACGGAGGUGGGAACCUUAGGGUGCACCAUCGACCGAUCCUGAUGUCUUCGGAAGGAUUUGAGUAUGAGCAUAGCUGUUGGGACCCGAAAGAUGGUGAACUAUGCCUGAAUAGGGUGAAGCCAGAGGAAACUCUGGUGGAGGCUCGCAGCGGUUCUGACGUGCAAAUCGAUCGUCAAAUUUGGGUAUAGGGGCGAAAGACUAAUC
RNAcentral lists this ribosomal RNA (840 nucleotides) under Geopyxis majalis. RNAcentral describes it as "eukaryotic LSU rRNA". It matches the Rfam family "Eukaryotic large subunit ribosomal RNA", at positions 76 to 936 of the family's 3401-position model. Lineage: Eukaryota; Fungi; Ascomycota; Pezizomycetes; Pezizales; Tarzettaceae. The record is from RNAcentral.